CAUCCAGAAUGACCUGACUGCAAAUGGAGGCUACUGUAUUUUAUGUCACAGACUGCUUUCUAAAGGARACUGACCCGAGACGCGUGGCAUCAUUAAAUUGAGAACAACGCUGGACAUGCACCACCACCACACAAGUGAAAGAUCUGGGUCCAUUGAGCUCUGACAUACCCCAAGAAAUGAAAGCUGGACUUAAAAAGGCUGAAAUGAAUCAGAUUAUCCCCAAUGAAGUCAUGUUUUCAUGGGGUUAUUUAUGUUCUGCGUUCUAUGAGUGGCGUGUGCGAACAAACAUAACCAGUAAGAGUCUCUUAAGAAAGGUAAGUAUGAAUAUUCCGUAUUCAUUACUUCUCAUCUCAGUUGCAAGGCACUGUGUCAGCUUCCUGAUCAGAUGAUGAGCAUCUUACGUAAGUCUAUUUUACAUUCA
This 421-nucleotide long non-coding RNA is filed under the name Dromaius novaehollandiae (emu). Its description in RNAcentral is "lncRNA (ENSDNVG00000014181.1)". The record is from RNAcentral. Lineage: Eukaryota; Metazoa; Chordata; Aves; Casuariiformes; Dromaiidae.